AGCUAACGUUGGCGGCGUGCCUAACACAUGCAAGUCGAACGCGUCUUGGGGGGCAACUCCCGAGAUGAGUGGCAGACGGGUGAGUAACACGUGGGUCAUCUUCCCUCGAGUGCGGAAUAAGCUCCCGAAAGGGGGUCUAAUACCGCAUGACACUCCGGGACAUAAGUCCUUGGGUCAAAGCCGCAAGGCGCUUGAGGAUGAGCCUGCGUCCUAUUAGCUAGUUGGUAGGGUAAUGGCCUACCAAGGCGAAGAUGGGUAGCCGGCCUGAGAGGGUGAACGGCCACACUGGGACUGAGACACGGCCCAGACUCCUACGGGAGGCAG
Molecule: ribosomal RNA, 324 nt
Filed under: uncultured Nitrospirota bacterium
Lineage: Bacteria; Pseudomonadati; Nitrospirota
Description: bacterial SSU rRNA
Rfam family: Bacterial small subunit ribosomal RNA
Source: RNAcentral